Molecule: long non-coding RNA, 219 nt
Filed under: Brassica napus (rape)
Lineage: Eukaryota; Viridiplantae; Streptophyta; Magnoliopsida; Brassicales; Brassicaceae
Description: long non-coding RNA (BNAP_LNC015168)
Source: RNAcentral
ACUUUUACCACUCUAGUUGAUUUGUUAUUUAAUUUCUUAAUUAUCAUAAUUCACUCUAUAUAAACGUUGAACUUUAUCGGACUUUAUAAAAGGAUUACGUUACCAAUCAAAAUGACCUAACUAAUACUCAUAUAUACAAUUAAUAUUUUUCUAAUUUACGACUUCUAAAUAUAUAUCACCUUUUUCACCAAACGUGAAUGUCAUUACACGUCGCUUUUG